Molecule: unclassified non-coding RNA, 431 nt
Filed under: soil metagenome
Description: partial contains 5.8S ribosomal RNA, internal transcribed spacer 2, and large subunit ribosomal RNA
Rfam family: 5.8S ribosomal RNA (bases 1-120)
Source: RNAcentral
GAUGAAGAACGCAGCGAAAUGCGAUACGUAAUGUGAAUUGCAGAAUUCAGUGAAUCAUCGAAUCUUUGAACGCAUAUUGCGCUCUCUGGUAUUCCGGAGAGCAUGCUUGUUUGAGUAUCAGUAAACACCUCAACUUCCAUAUCUUUUUUGAAAUGGGAGUUGGACUUGAGUGAUCCCAACGCUUUUCCUCACCGAAAAGUGGCGGGUUACUUGAAAUGCAGGUGCAGCUGGACUUUUCUCUGAGCUAUAAGCAUAUCUAUUUAGUCUGCCUAAAAACAGAUUAUUACCUUUGCUGCAGCUAACAUAAAGGAGAUUAGUUCUUGUGCUGACUGAUGCAGGAUUCACAAAGACAGGCUUCGGCCGACUUUGUAAACUCGAUCUCAAAUCAAGUAAGACUACCCGCUGAACUUAAGCAUAUCAAUAAGCGGGGA